This 436-nucleotide long non-coding RNA is filed under the name Ananas comosus (pineapple). RNAcentral's name for it is "long non-coding RNA (ACOM_LNC003778)". Lineage: Eukaryota; Viridiplantae; Streptophyta; Magnoliopsida; Poales; Bromeliaceae. The record is from RNAcentral.
UUGUGUUAAUUGUAUACAUUGUGUUAAUUGUUCGUUACUGACUUAUGAAUAUGUGAAAAUACACUUGAUAUUUGAUGGUUUUCUAUAGUACAACAAAAUAUAUUUUAGAUGAUGCUCUAUUAUAAUAUCUUCAAUAUUUGGUAUGUGCCGAUAUCAUGAUUAAACGUCGCCAAUAAACAUAUUUAUAUCAAAUACUGGUAAAAAAUUUUCAACACUAUAUUAAAGCAUCGAUAUAUUUAUCCCGAUAUGUUUACUUAACGACUCAUUGCUCGACGCUUUUACAAGUGUCAGUAUUAUUCUUUCCACCACUUUAAAGCAUCGCUAGUUAUUGUUUAAAGUGUCUUUAAGUGCAAGAUUUAUUGUAGUGCUAGAAAGCGAAAGGAAUUGGUAAUGACUCAAUAUUAAAAUUUAUUUAAUUUUAUAUGAUGUUUUAUGU